GGAGCUUGUAUAUCUGUUUUUCUCUAACUUGUAGGCUAAGCCUUAAUAGACAAGUGCAAAAAAUAAAUCCUCUUUGCAACCUAGAACUCAUUGUUCGGUAUGAGUUUUUAUAAUACAAGAAGGAAUAUU
This is a small nucleolar RNA of Fukomys damarensis (Damara mole-rat), 129 nucleotides long. NCBI's taxonomy places the organism in Eukaryota, Metazoa, Chordata, Mammalia, Rodentia, Bathyergidae. The record is from Ensembl.